GAUCAUUUUAUGUGGUUGUAUUUAUCCACGAUACCUUAAAGGCCGCUCCGUGUCUGACAUAAACCAGUCUGUGGCGCAAAAAAGGUUGGGGACCGCUGCUGUACAGCAUGAGGGUUAAUAGGACCGUACUCAUAUAAAUAUGAUGUGUAAAUUGAUUUAUUCUUGUACAUCCACGCCGUAGCGGCCCAAUUCUUCACCCCAGUGAAGAGGUGAUUGUUUUCUCCUCGUUUUAAUAAAUUAAGCUGUUUGGUCUUUGUUCCCCACAACAUAUCACCAAUUCGAAAAAAUCAAAAUUAGCUGUAUGUAAGCGGCAAUACAUGAAAAAUCACGGGACCCCCGAUACAAGCUGGUUUACGGUUAUUUUAAAGAAAAGAAACAUGUCUAUGCAGAUGCCCAAAGCUUAACAAAACGACCGCUAUAACAAUUUAACUUUUGUACAACCAGAUUUUCAUAUACUUACAUUUGAAAAUGUUUUCCUCUCCUGCUUCGACCACCAUCGUUAUCAGAAACAAAUCUCCUCUAUGACCCGCAAUGAAUCCUGGGAUAUAGUAGGACAUGAAGGACACAUCAGACCAUCCUUAGAAUUCAGGGCAAAGUAGGAUGCAUUUGUCGCCACAUUUUGAGUACUCUUUGAAUUCGGACAGCCUUCGUCGCGUUGCCAUGACGUCAUUGCCUCCAAAUAUGGCAUUGGCGCAUCCUUCCCCUGAAUUCGGACACGACUAACCCUCAAAUUCGUGGAAAAGUAGGACACAUUUGUCGCCACAUUUUGAGUGCUCUUUGAAUUCGGACAGUCCUAGUCGCGUCACUGUGACGUCAUUGCCUCCAAAUAUGGCAUUUUAAGCAUCCUUCCCCUGAAUUCGGACACAGCCUCUGCCACACAACAAGCAGAUGGACUCCAGCAGUUGUGGAGUUUUAGUAACGAACAUUUAAUAAGCAAUUGUAUUUAAUUAUAGAUAACUAGAAUUAAGUUAAUCAAUUGCAAUUACUGUAACAUAUUUUACAGUUUGCCGAACACUACCUUCUGAGUGGAGAGGUUACUAGGGUGCUGUCCUCUCCAGAAGCCGUUGGGCUGCAACGCACUGAAAUUGCUUGCGAACUGCUAGAACAUCAAGGUAAUGCUGAUGACUACUGUGUGGUUUGUUCCAUGCUGGAAGGUGAUGCUGAGUCCAGUAUGAUUGAAAUGGUGCAGUGUGACUUUUGUCUCAGAUGGGCACAUUUUGGAUGUGCUCAAUAUGAGAGCAGCCUGGUCAAGUACUUGUGUGAAAAAUGUGCAUAAUUUGUAAUGAAUACUGUUUCUUUUCCACUUCUUUCUCCCUGUGUUCUGUUGGAUCUGUAAAUAUCAUAUAUAUAUAUAUAUCUGUAAAUAUAUGCUGUCAGUCACAGUAAAGUACAAAGCGCAGCCUGGUCAAGUACUUGUGUGAAAAAUGUGCAUAAUUUGUUAUGAAUACUGUUUCUUUUUCAGUUCUUUCUCCCUGUGUUCUGUUGGAUCUGUAAAUGUCAAAUAUAUGUAUCUGUAAAUAUAUUCAGUAAAUAUAUACUGUAACUCUAAUGGAGUGAGUUCAUUGUCAAAGUUUAUAUAGUCAGUGUUAGGUUAGGGCUGUGUGCAGGCAGGAGUGGUAGCAGGAGGACCCAAAGUGCAGACGCUCGGAGGCAAAAGUGUAUUUCAAAAAAACUCAGCUUUAAUGCUGGAUGGCAAAAAGUAACAGAAAACCCAAAAAUACAAAAUAAACUUACACAGGCAGGCAGACGGAACACACAGCAAAAUAAACGGUAGAUCGCAACACGGAUAAACUGAAACACAGGGCUUAAAUACACAGAGGGAGCAAUCAGGGAAUGGGUAACAGGAGGGAAACACAGCUGGGGCAAAUCGGGCCUAACGAGACAAAAGAAGCACAACCAGACAAGGACUUUCAAAGUAAAACAGGAAACAUAACAGACUGAACUUACAGACACAGACUCACAGGC
Oreochromis niloticus (Nile tilapia) is the source of this 1965-nucleotide long non-coding RNA. RefSeq lists it as uncharacterized. NCBI's taxonomy places the organism in Eukaryota, Metazoa, Chordata, Actinopteri, Cichliformes, Cichlidae. The record is from RefSeq and is a predicted model, not a curated record. The transcript is spliced from 3 exons.